AUGGCUUAAAUAACUAAAAAAAAAAGAAACCACAGUUUAGGACUGAAAAGUGAAUUUGCAAACAUUUCAUGAGACAUUUAAU
Sinocyclocheilus rhinocerous is the source of this 82-nucleotide long non-coding RNA. RefSeq lists it as uncharacterized. Lineage: Eukaryota; Metazoa; Chordata; Actinopteri; Cypriniformes; Cyprinidae. The transcript is spliced from 3 exons. The record is from RefSeq and is a predicted model, not a curated record.